This 391-nucleotide unclassified non-coding RNA is filed under the name soil metagenome. RNAcentral describes it as "partial contains 5.8S ribosomal RNA, internal transcribed spacer 2, and large subunit ribosomal RNA". The stretch from base 1 to 122 matches the Rfam family "5.8S ribosomal RNA", at positions 35 to 154 of the family's 154-position model. The record is from RNAcentral.
GAUGAAGAACGUAGUGAAAUGCGAUACUUGGUGUGAAUUGCAGAAUCCCGUGAACCAUCGAGUCUUUGAACGCAAGUUGCGCCCGAAGCCAUUAGGCCGAGGGCACGCCUGCCUGGGCGUCACACGUCGUUGCCCCCCCAUCUACUCCUUCGGGAUUGCGGGGGGCGGAUGAUGGCCUCCCGUGCGCCUAGUCGCGCGGUUGGCAUAAAUGCCAAGUCCUCGGCGACGCACGCCACGACAAUCGGUGGUUGCGAAACCUCGGUUGCCCGUCGUGUGCGGUCGUCGCGCAUCGAGGGCUCGAAAAAAUUGCCGGGCUCCGGCUCGGCUUUCAACGCGACCCCAGGUCAGGCGGGGUUACCCGCUGAAUUUAAGCAUAUCAAUAAGCGGAGGA